Molecule: ribosomal RNA, 331 nt
Filed under: uncultured bacterium
Lineage: Bacteria
Description: partial 16S ribosomal RNA
Rfam family: Bacterial small subunit ribosomal RNA
Source: RNAcentral
GUCGAACGGCAGCACGGGCUUCGGCCUGGUGGCGAGUGGCGAACGGGUGAGUAAUGCAUCGGAACGUGCCCAUGUCGGGGGGGAUAACGUACCGAAAGGUACGCUAAUACCGCAUACGCCCUGAGGGGGAAAGCGGGGGAUUCUUCGGAACCUCGCGCGAUUGGAGCGGCCGAUGUCAGAUUAUCUAGGAGGGGAGGAAAGGGCUCCCCUAGGCCACUAUCCGUAGCGGGUCUGAGAGGAUGAUCCCCCACCCUGGGACUGAGACGCGGCCCACACUCCUACGGGAGGCAGCAGGGGGGAAUUUUGGACUAUGGGGGAAACCCUGAUCCAC